RNAcentral lists this ribosomal RNA (466 nucleotides) under uncultured bacterium. RNAcentral's name for it is "partial 16S ribosomal RNA". It matches the Rfam family "Bacterial small subunit ribosomal RNA", at positions 29 to 507 of the family's 1533-position model. The record is from RNAcentral.
AAUGAACGUUGGCGGCAUGGAUUAGGCAUGCAAGUCGAGCGCGAAACGUAGCAAUACGUGGAGAGCGGCGAAAGGGAGAGGAAUAUGUGGGCACCUACCUUCGGGCCUGGAAUAGCGGCGGGAAACUGCCGGUAAUGCCAGAUAACGUCCCCGGACCAAAGGUGUGUUUCCGCCUGGAGAUGGGCCCACAUCCUAUCAGCUUGCUGGUGUGGUAACGGCGCACGAAGGCUAAGACGGGUAUGGGGUGUGAGAGCAUGCCCCCACUCACUGGGACUGAGACACUGCGCAGACACCGACGGGUGGCUGCAGUCGAGAAUCGGCAGCAGUGAGCGCAAGCUUGAACGAGCGAUGCGGCGGGCGGGAUGAAGUCCCUCGGGUUGUAAACCGCUGUCGUAGGGGAAUAACGGUCGGUGGGUGCUCCCAUCGAUUUAAAUGAUCCGAGGAGGAAGGACGGGCUAAGUUCGUG